Molecule: ribosomal RNA, 253 nt
Filed under: uncultured bacterium
Lineage: Bacteria
Description: partial 16S ribosomal RNA
Rfam family: Bacterial small subunit ribosomal RNA
Source: RNAcentral
UACGUAGGAGGCAAGCGUUGUCCGGAGUUACUGGGCGUAAAGGGCGCGCAGGCGGCCACUCGCGUUCCUGGUGAAAGCUCCCGGCUUAACCGGGAGAGGUUCAGGAAAACGGGGUGGCUUGAGCGUCGGAGAGGGGCAUGGAACUCCGGGUGGAGCGGUGAAAUGCGUAGAGAUCCGGAAGAACACCAAUGGCGAAGGCAGUGCCCUGGCCGACUGCUGACGCUCAGGCGCGAAAGCGUGGGGAGCAAACAGG